AUUAGGUUGGUGCAAACCUAAUUGCAAUUUUUGCAUAUUUUUAAGUAAUUGCAAAAACUGUAAUUACUUUUGCACCAGCCUAAUAC
RNAcentral lists this microRNA precursor (86 nucleotides) under Nomascus leucogenys (northern white-cheeked gibbon). RNAcentral's name for it is "microRNA 548f-3 (ENSNLEG00000026088.2)". The record is from RNAcentral. Lineage: Eukaryota; Metazoa; Chordata; Mammalia; Primates; Hylobatidae.